AUAAGUUCUUAUCUCUGGUAAAAUGCUUAUAUUACUCCUCUAAACCAUGCUCAAUUCAGGCCUUUGUCUUUGUUAAGUGCCUUUUAUUUCUUUCUUUUUCUCCCUCUUUUGAAACUUUCAAACACCCUCAAGUACAGACUGAUGAAGUCAGGGGAUUCAGGAGAAAGAAUCUGAGCCUUGCCAAAAUCAUGUCAUGUAAUAAUUCUCUUCCUUCUGCUUUGUGUGUGUGGACACAAGUAUGAGGUACACAGCGUGUAUGAAACCAGGAGCAGCUGUGCCAUGGCAAUCCUUCUAAGCACUGCCCUGUUGACAUUGCAGAACUUCUGCCUUGUUUAUUCCAUUGCUUUGAGUUGAUUCAGAUGGGCAGAUUGGGAAGUAGUCUUUGCACAUGAUGCUGGCUUCCCUUUCUGAAUAUCUGUAGAAGUUAAUAUAUAUGUGUGUGUGUGUGUGUGUGUGUGUGUGUGUGUGUGUGUGUGUAUAUAUAUAUAUAUGUAGGGCAUUAUAUAUAUAAAGCAUAUGUGUUGGUUAUUGCAAACAUAAUAAACUCUGUGGACUCCUUGACUAUUUCUGGAUGUAAUCCACUUCUCUCUACCCCUCAAAUCUUUCAGUAGUAGUGUGUGAGAAAGCAUCAGGAUAACAAGAGCAUUUGUUGGUCGAGGUGAUACGAUGCCCUAUGCAGACAAGAUUCAGUACUAGUGCUAGAACCAUGGGGUGGUGUCUGAAUACACUUUGGAGGAGGUUGGCACUCAUGUCAAUAUUAAAAGACGUUUUCUUCUGGAAAAUGAUCUUGAAAUUGUAUAUCUGAAACGUCAAUAAACUUAGAUUUUUAGACAGUGAGGAAACACUUGUAUAAUCAGGACGUACUUGAGAAAUGUUCAGUCUGUUUAUUGCCAGAUGAUCAGAUUUGCUCUGAUUUCAUGAUUGUUUAAAUGUCUUUCCUGAGCAAAAUAAAAUAACUUUCAGUAUCUAAGACUUGAGGGGGGGGUUCUGUUUUGUUUUUGUUUUUAGAUGUAACAUGUUGAAAAAGACUAAGUUGAACUGAUCCUCUGUAUAUCUACAAAGGACCCCCUUUUAAGUAAAAUUUUAGUUG
This 1090-nucleotide long non-coding RNA is filed under the name Mus musculus (house mouse). RNAcentral's name for it is "long non-coding RNA chr6:38506971-38508061". Lineage: Eukaryota; Metazoa; Chordata; Mammalia; Rodentia; Muridae. The record is from RNAcentral.